RNAcentral lists this ribosomal RNA (1467 nucleotides) under metagenome. Its description in RNAcentral is "bacterial LSU rRNA". It matches the Rfam family "Bacterial large subunit ribosomal RNA", at positions 1464 to 2925 of the family's 2925-position model. The record is from RNAcentral.
AUGGAGUGACGGAGAAGGAUAGCAAGAGCCUAUUAUUGGAUUUAGGUUUAAAUGCUUAGGUUAGUGAGUUGGAAAAUCCGCUACACUAUUAAAACUGAAACAUGAUGACGCCGAUUCCUACGGGGAUCUAAGUCUUGUGAAUCCAUGCUUCCAAGAAAAACUUCUAAAGAUAUUGUAUAGGAACCUGUACCGCAAACCACCACAGGUGGUCAAGGAGAGAAUCCUAAGGUGAGCGAGAGAACUAUGGUUAAGGAACUCGGCAAAAUGACCCCGUAACUUCGGGAUAAGGGGAGGUCACUUCGGUGACCCGCAGAGAAUUGUCCCAGGCAACUGUUUACCAAAAACACAGGUCUCUGCUAAAGCGUAAGCUGAUGUAUAGGGGCUGACGCCUGCCCAGUGCUGGAAGGUUAAGAUGAUUUGUUAGUCGGACGAAAGUCGAUAACGGCGAAGCAUUGACUUGAAGCCCCAGUGAACGGCGGCCGUAACAAUAACGGUCCUAAGGUAGCGAAAUUCCUUGUCAGGUAAGUUCUGACCCGCACGAAAGGCGUAUGAUCUGGGAGCUGUCUCAACCAUAGACUCGGUGAAAUCUUAAUACCUGUGAAAAUGCAGGUUACCCGCAGCAGGACGGAAAGACCCCAUGGAGCUUUACUGUAGGUUGAUAUUGGAAUCAGAUGUUAGUUGUAGAGGAUAGGUGGUAGACUAUGAUGUAUAGACGCUAGUUUAUACGGAGUCGCCCUUGGAAUACCACCCUUCUGAUAUUUGAUUUCUAACUCGCACCCAUUAUCUGGGUGGAGGACAGUGUCUGCUGGGCAGUUUGACUGGGGCGGUCGCCUCCUAAAAAGUAACGGAGGCGCCCAAAGGUUCCCUCAGAAUGGUUGGAAAUCAUUCAAAGAGUGUAAUGGUAUAAGGGAGCUUGACUGUGAGACUUACAAGUCGAGCAGGUACGAAAGUAGGGCAUAGUGAUCAGGCGGUAGAGUAUGGAAUUGCCGUCGCUUAACGGAUAAAAGUUACCCUGGGGAUAACAGGCUGAUACCACCCAAUAGUUCACAUAGACGGUGGUGAUUGGCACCUCGAUGUCGGCUCGUCACAUCCUGGAGGUGGAUUCGCUUCCAAGGGUUAGGCUGUUCGCCUAUUAAAUUGGCACGCGAGCUGGGUUCAGAACGUCGUGAGACAGUUCGGUCCCUAUCCGCUGUGGGCGUAGGAAAAUUGAGGAGAGCUGUUCCUAGUACGAGAGGACCGGAAUGGACUGACCAAUGGUGUAUCUGUUGUAACGCCAGUUGCAGUGCAGAGUAGCUAUGUCGGGAAGGGAUAACCGCUGAAAGCAUCUAAGCGGGAAGCCCACUUCAAGAUGAGUUUUCCCAUAUGUAUAUAGUAAGAACCGUUGUAGACUACAACGUUGAUAGGCUAGAGGUGGAAGCGUAGUGAUACGUUGAGCUGACUAGUACUAAUAGUUCGAGGAUUUAAUCG